GGGGCCGUAGCUCAGUUGGGAGAGCGCUUGAAUCGCACUCAAGAGGUCAGGGGUUCAACUCCCCUCGGCUCCACCA
This 76-nucleotide transfer RNA is filed under the name Candidatus Omnitrophota bacterium. RNAcentral describes it as "Candidatus Omnitrophica bacterium tRNA-Ala". It matches the Rfam family "tRNA". From Rfam's summary of the family: Transfer RNA (tRNA) molecules are approximately 80 nucleotides in length. Their secondary structure includes four short double-helical elements and three loops (D, anti-codon, and T loops). Lineage: Bacteria; Pseudomonadati; Candidatus Omnitrophota. The record is from RNAcentral.